AAUGAACGUUGGCGGCGUGGAUUAGGCAUGCAAGUCGAGCGAGAACCGUAGCAAUACGGGGACAGCGGCGAAAGGGAGAGGAAUACGCGGGUACCUACCCUCGGAUCUGGGAUAGCCACGGGAAACUGUGGGUAAUACCAGAUAACGUCUUCGGACCAAAGGUGUGAUUCCGUCCGAGGAGGGGCCCAAGUCCUAUUAGCAAGUUGGUGGGGUAAUGGCCUACCAAGGUAAUGAUGGGUACGGGGCGUGAGAGCGUGCCCCCGCUCACUGGGACUGAGACACUGCCCAGACACCUACGGGUGGCUGCAGUCGAGGAUCUUCGGAAAUGGGCGCAAGCCUGACCGAGCGACGCCGCGUGCGGGAUGAAGGCCUUCGGGUUGUAAACCGCCGUCGGAAGGGAGGAAAUGCCUAGGGGUUCUCCCCUAGGUUUGACCUAUCUUCAGAGGAAGUACGGGCUAAGUUCGUGCCAGCCGCCGCAGUAA
This 482-nucleotide ribosomal RNA is filed under the name uncultured bacterium. RNAcentral's name for it is "partial 16S ribosomal RNA". It matches the Rfam family "Bacterial small subunit ribosomal RNA", at positions 29 to 523 of the family's 1533-position model. The record is from RNAcentral.